RNAcentral lists this ribosomal RNA (253 nucleotides) under uncultured bacterium. Its description in RNAcentral is "partial 16S ribosomal RNA". It matches the Rfam family "Bacterial small subunit ribosomal RNA", at positions 524 to 776 of the family's 1533-position model. The record is from RNAcentral.
AACGUAGGUUCCGAGCGUUAUCCGGAUUUACUGGGCGUAAAGCGCGUUCAGGCGGUUCGGCAAGUCGGGCAUGAAAUCUCUCGGCUCAACCGGGAGAGGUUGUCCGAUACUGUUGGACUUGAGGGCAGUAGAGGGUGGUGGAAUUCCGGGUGUAGCGGUGGAAUGCGUAGAGAUCCGGAAGAACACCGGUGGCUAAGGCGGCCUGCUGGGAUCUUGCUGACGCUGAGGCGCGACAGCGUGGGGAGCAAACAGG